Branchiostoma floridae (Florida lancelet) is the source of this 1404-nucleotide long non-coding RNA. RefSeq lists it as uncharacterized. The record is from RefSeq and is a predicted model, not a curated record. The transcript has 3 exons. Lineage: Eukaryota; Metazoa; Chordata; Leptocardii; Amphioxiformes; Branchiostomatidae.
AUCCCGGUUUCCAUUGAUGUUGAGCCUCUGAUAACAGACGUCAUCUGCUGUGUACACAUCUAGGAGGGAAAGACGCCAUUAUUGGUCUGGACAAGCCUUAAAGCAAUCUCCUGGUGAAGAAGAUCCCGUUGAUUGGUGCUUGGCCGGUUACACCGUCUGCAAAUGCCAUGCCGCUAGAGAGGAUAAAGAAAAAGGCAGAACUUCGUCAUCAUUAUCAUAGCUACCCCCAGAUAACCCCGCAAGGGGCGACAUGGGGGGGGGGGGGGUUGAGUUGAGGUCCCGGGUUAGGGCUGGCAGCCCUCCUGCCUCCUGCCUUGACUCGGCGAAAGUCUAAAGAGUUGCUUGUGAGGAAACGUUCUAACAUCAAUAACACACCCUUUUCUCAAGAGGGAAGUGUGAAAAAUGUUUGUUAGUUUCUUUAUAUGUUUCUUGGUGAACUUCUAUUCGUACAAUGUAACACAAAAUGUGCAUACUAUUCUCCUGGGAUCUUAAUUUCUCAUAUACAAAAAUAAAUACAUUGAAAAUUACAAUGUAGCAAAUGAUAAUUGCAAUUAAUAAGGCACAAUUUCAACUACCUACUGAUGUGUAUACGACUGAAAACUAACGAUGGAAACUGAUAUAAGAUGAAAUGUAGCGGAGAAACAUUGUGUAUUUACAUUAUACAUUGUUAACCACCACACCUCAUCCCGUGUGGUUGUGUAUUUUAGUCAAUACCUUAUAAUUGCGUGUGUUUGCAGAUGUAAUGUGACAAGGUAAGUUGUUUAUGUACGUUUAUGUCUAGUGCGAAAAGUAUUCCCGGAAACAUAAUAAAAAGGCUGAAGAGGGUUUGAGUUAAUUCCGUUUUAUCAUAUCACGUCCGUUCCGCAAAGUAAUAUAAAUGACGUCAGGAGUGGUAAAAGGAAACACAUAAUGACGAGCUUAUGAUACUAAAGGCGUCAGAUAUUUUGGACAAGGGGGAAAUGUUAAAUCUUAAUUUCAUACAUCCCUUUCAAUGAGGUCGUCUGUACCAAACUCUGCAAAGAAUAGAAGUCUUAUCUUGUUUGGUCGUCUAGUAUUGGGAGAAUUUGGCGCCAUUCUUUCAUUAGGAAAAUAGUCUCUUGUGCAUCCUUUGUAUGAUCCCACUGGUGCUUAGAUUACCUGAUCUUACCGUACAGAGCUGUAUAACUAACAGUUGAUCAUAUACCUACUCAGCUGGGGCAUCGUGAAGAGCUAUGGAAUGUGACGUGAAGGACAAACAACAGAUUUCUACACACAGAAAAACUGUCCAAAGGACACAGUGGUGAUUGUGGUACUCUUGCACCAUUAGGACUCUCCUAGAUAGCCAAUUUGUCCACAUAGAGAGAGAGAGAGAGAACACAUGCAGUACAAUGCCACUUCACAUGCAAUGGAGAGUAGAAAGACUUA